Molecule: ribosomal RNA, 484 nt
Filed under: uncultured bacterium
Lineage: Bacteria
Description: partial 16S ribosomal RNA
Rfam family: Bacterial small subunit ribosomal RNA
Source: RNAcentral
AUUGAACGCUGGCGGCAUGCUUUACACAUGCAAGUCGAACGGCAGCGCGGGCUUCGUCCUGGCGGCGAGUGGCGAACGGGUGAGUAAGUCAUCGGAACGUGCCCAGCCGUUGGGGAUAGCUCGGCGAAAGCCGGAUUAAUACCGCAUACGAUCUGAGGGUUAAACCGGGGGAUCUUCGGACCUCGCGCUAUUUGAGUGGCCGAUGGCAGAUUAGCUAGUUGGUGGGGUAAAGGCCUACCAAGGCGACGAUCUGUAGCUGGUCUGAGAGGCCGACCAGCCACACUGGGACUGAGACACGGCCCAGACUCCUACGGGAGGCAGCAGUGGGGAAUUUUGGACAAUGGGCGAAAGCCUGAUCCAGCAAUGCCGCGUGUGUGAUGAAGGCCUUCGGGUUGUAAAGCACUGUUGGCGGGAAAGAAAAGGAGUGUGAGAAUACCGCGGUUCGAUGACGGUACCCGAAGAAUAAGCACCGGCUAACUACGUG